AGCCUCGUGGUGUACUGCAUGUUGGAUUGCAAAUCCAAAGGAGCAGAUUGACGUCUGCCGGGGCUU
This 66-nucleotide transfer RNA is filed under the name Lepidocephalus macrochir. Its description in RNAcentral is "tRNA-Cys". The record is from RNAcentral. Lineage: Eukaryota; Metazoa; Chordata; Actinopteri; Cypriniformes; Cobitidae.